UGGGGAAUUUUGCGCAAUGGGGGAAACCCUGACGCAGCAACGCCGCGUGGGUGAUGAAGGUCUUCGGAUCGUAAAACCCUGUCGUCGGGGACGAAGGUUGCGGGUUGAACAGGCCUGUAACUUGACGGUACCCGGAGAGGAAGCCCCGGCUAACUCUGUGCCAGCAGCCGCGGUAAUACAGAGGGGGCAAGCGUUAUUCGGAAUUAUUGGGCGUAAAGGGUGCGUAGGCGGUGUUUUAAGUGAGAUGUGCAAUCCCCGGGCUUAACCUGGGAACUGCAUCUCAGACUGGAACGCUAGAGUGCUGGAGAGGGUGGUAGAAUUCCACGUGUAGCGGUGAAAUGCGUAGAGAUGUGGAGGAAUACCAGUGGCGAAGGCGGCCACCUGGACAGCAACUGACGCU
RNAcentral lists this ribosomal RNA (400 nucleotides) under uncultured bacterium. Its description in RNAcentral is "bacterial SSU rRNA". It matches the Rfam family "Bacterial small subunit ribosomal RNA", at positions 355 to 747 of the family's 1533-position model. The record is from RNAcentral.